CCCUAUUGUUUUUAGUUUCCAAUUCCAUGUUCUCAAGUCAACAACAAUAAUAAAAGAACACACCUAGAAGUGAAAACUCAAAGUUUCCAACUAUGAACAUCCCCACAUAAUGAUGAUGGUUAUAGAAUUAAGGAACACACAUGAAAUAAUAAGUUUGACUAUUUCUACCCCCUUCUACCAAAACCCAAUCAAAGAAAGGCUACUUUACCAUUGCUGAAGGAGAAAUGGAAGCAAAAGCAAUAAUGAAUCCAGCGUCAUACCCGGAAAGUGAAGAAGCCUUUGUAGCUGUUUCUGCGGAUAAUGGUCACGAGUACUUAAAGCUUCGGAAAAGCACUUUAGCAUAACCAUAAUAUAACCCCAUCUUUUAUUAGAAGCAAUUAUGAGUGUGAUUGAGUACUGUAACCAACAAUAAUAAUCACACAAACUUCGAAGAUUUUUCCAUUACCUAUUUGCUGUCUCCACCAUGCCACCCACUACCAUUUAAGACCUUAUAAUUUCAUGUCUUGUGCUUCUCCACACAUCGCCAUCACCUCAAAAGUCGGUGACUUCAAAAAAAUUUAAUCCCAAUAAUUGGUGCA
This 578-nucleotide long non-coding RNA is filed under the name Glycine max (soybean). RNAcentral describes it as "long non-coding RNA (GMAX_LNC000288)". Lineage: Eukaryota; Viridiplantae; Streptophyta; Magnoliopsida; Fabales; Fabaceae. The record is from RNAcentral.